UACGUAGGCGGAUCAGAAAGUAUAGGGUGAAAUCCCAGGGCUCAACCCUGGAACUGCCUUAUAAACUCCUGGUCUUGAGUUCGAGAGAGGUGAGUGGAAUUCCAAGUGUAGAGGUGAAAUUCGUAGAUAUUUGGAGGAACACCAGUGGCGAAGGCGGCUCACUGGCUCGAUACUGACGCUGAGGUACGAAAGUGUGGGGAGCGAACAGGAUUAGAUACCCGAGUAGUCC
This 229-nucleotide ribosomal RNA is filed under the name uncultured bacterium. Its description in RNAcentral is "partial 16S ribosomal RNA". It matches the Rfam family "Bacterial small subunit ribosomal RNA", at positions 568 to 796 of the family's 1533-position model. The record is from RNAcentral.